Molecule: long non-coding RNA, 2063 nt
Organism: Drosophila sulfurigaster albostrigata
Lineage: Eukaryota; Metazoa; Arthropoda; Insecta; Diptera; Drosophilidae
Exons: 7
Source: RefSeq, a predicted model, not a curated record
UGAUUUCUAAGGAACCUACAUAUACUCAAACUUAUCAAACAUCGAUUACAACUUUAUUGCCAGAUAUCGAUAAGAAUUUCUUAUCUUUGUGAUAAGCAAUUCGUCAACAAACCGUCAAAAAUAGAUUAAAAACUUUUAGUCAGCUUGUGUCAGUCAACUAUGGACAACGUGGAUAUUAACGAGAGCUACAGUAAGAUAAAAUUGGGGAAAAGAGUAAGAAGAGAAUAAUAUCUUUCUCUUACGUACAAAUCAAUAAAUAAAUAUAUUUUAGAUUGGAUGUGGCAGCUAUGGAGUGGUUCACAAAGCAAUUUGGCAAGCUAGUGACCAACAAAAGAAAAUUGCAGUGAAAAUAAUUCAAGACAACAAUCAAGAUUCCGAAACAGAAAUUAUCAAUAAGGAGAGGAAUGUUUUGAACGAAAUUCGGAAUCUUAAACAGUUUAAUCAUAGGAACAUUGUCACGCUAUAUGGAGUCGCAAAAGAUCCCGACAAUAGCAUUUGUAUGAUUUUUGAGUUUGCAGAUUGUGGAUCACUCUACAAUUUUUUGCAUUGUUCGGAUAACGACGUCAGCUACGUUGACAAGAUAAACUGGAUGAAGCAAUGUGCCAAGGGAAUGGAUUAUUUACAUAGUAAUAAUACAGUCCACCGGGAUCUUAAAACUCAGAACUUGUUGCUUUUCGAUAAGUAUCAAACAUUAAAAAUAGGGAUUUUGGAACAGUAAAACAACUUACUACGAUUAAUACGGAAUUCAUUGGCACCAUUCGAUACAUGGCCCCAGAACUUGUUGACGCAAAUGGGAAAUAUACAGAGAAGUGUGACGUUUUUAGCUUUGGGAUUAUAUUUUGGGAAGUCAUGUCUCGGAAGAAGCCUUUCGAGGACUUAAAAGACAUGCAUCCAUUGGCAAUUCAAAAGAAAAUUGUAGAAGGUCUACGGCCAAAUAUAAAUGAUGCAAAAACCUAUGAGGGGUCGGAUCUCUUCAAACUAACUAUUGAAGAGUGCUAGAAAGAAGAUCCUCAAAUUAGGCCGUGUAUGAAAGAGCUGAUUGGUAUUUUAAAAAUAAAUCGUAUAGUUUACUGUAAUGUAAACUUCGAUGACUUAGAGUUAGGAAAAAUGGUUGCCAGCGGUAAAUAUAGCGAUGUCUACAAAGCAACUUGGUAUACCGAAGGCCAAUACAAAGAUGUUGCUGCGCAUAUUAAUAGAAGUUGCAUUCCGGAUUUCAAAUAUGAACAAAGUACCCUCAGCAUAAUCUACUAUCUAAAGAACUUAAAGCAUGAAAAUAUUGUAACAUUAUAUGACAUCUCAAAAACGCACGACAACAGAAUUUGCUUGCUUUUUGAGCUUGCAGACUGUGGAUCACUUCAUAAUUGUUUACAUCAUACGGAAAUCAAAAUUUCUUAUAUUGUAAAGCUAAAUUGGAUGCUUCAAUUUGUCAAGGGUAUGGAACAUCUGCUUAGCAUAGGAAUAAGUCACCGAGACCUGAAAUCAAAGAACUUGAUGCUUUUCGAUGAAUAUCGUACAUUGAAAAUCGGGGAUUUUAUUGCAGUGAAGCGACUUCAUUUAAAUGAUACGUUUAUUGGCCCAGUUCAUUAUACGGCUCCAGAAGUUUAUCUACAUAAGUAUAAGUAGACUUAUACAAUAUUUUUAUUUUUAUUUAUUCCAUUUAUGUAGGAAACACAUAUGCAUACGGAAAAAAGUGAUGUUUUUAGCUUUGGAAUUAUAUUCUGGGAAGUAAUGUGUAGAAGGAAACCCUUCAAUGACAUCAAUCCAUCAGAUAUCUCUAACUUUAUUAUUAAUGGUGGUCGACCUAACCUGGAUGUCUUCCCUAUUUAUGAGGAUUCGGAUCACAUCAAAUACAUAAUUCAUAUGUGCUUCUCGAGAAAUCCAGAAAAUCGCCCUACGAUCAAUAAAUUGUCUGUUCUGCUUCACUUCGAUCCCAGAGUCUUUACCAUGUUCCCUGAUCUAGUCCACCGUAUUGAACCAUUGACAAAUAUUUGCGAUGCAGAUUUUAGUUUGCAACAAACGAAAAGCCUUACUUAUAGUAAACAUAAAUAAAAGUGUUGAGAGCU